CUUUGUGGAGCUGGGAGGACACAGCUAAAGGAAGAACUUGCGACUUGGGUCACAGAAAAUCCCUUUGAACAAAAGAGAACCUUGUGCAGGACUUGAAAACUACAGAAGAGAACCAGAACAGAAGAGACCAGUGCACCCACAUUUUCCUGCCGUGAGUGAUGAAGAGGAGGAAGAAGAAGGUGAGUGUGUCAAGGAUAAUAACCUGUGAUGCCGAAGUGUGCUGCACUAUUAAUUCGUGACUUGUCAUUUGCAUUAUGAUGAAUUGCCUGGUGUGGAUUGGCAGGAGGCUGUCUUAAAAACGAUUCCUUGGGAAUUUCAGAAUCCUUUCUUUUUUCUUUUUUCUUUUUUUUUUUUUUUUGUCUUUUUGCCUUUUC
Molecule: long non-coding RNA, 374 nt
Filed under: Sus scrofa (pig)
Lineage: Eukaryota; Metazoa; Chordata; Mammalia; Artiodactyla; Suidae
Description: lncRNA (ENSSSCG00045005691.1)
Source: RNAcentral